AAUCAUGAUGAUAGACUGGUACAACAUAUGUGUUUACGAUGAAAUGCUUCCACGAACAAUGAUUCCACGAUGAAGUUCUCUCUGCAACAGUCAGAUCCACAAUGGACAGUUUUAAUUUGCAUAUACGACAUCCGAUGGACAAGCUCUUUCCACAAUACACGAACCACGACGGAUGGCACUGUCUGCAGUACUCUUACUAUUCAAACCUCCGAUAAACUUUGUAUUAAC
RNAcentral lists this long non-coding RNA (228 nucleotides) under Arabidopsis lyrata. RNAcentral's name for it is "long non-coding RNA (ALYR_LNC001113)". The record is from RNAcentral. Lineage: Eukaryota; Viridiplantae; Streptophyta; Magnoliopsida; Brassicales; Brassicaceae.